GACGAACGCUGGCGGCGUGCCUAAUACAUGCAAGUUGAGCGCUGAAGGUUGGUACUUGUACCAACUGGAUGAGCAGCGAACGGGUGAGUAACGCGUGGGGAAUCUGCCUUUGAGCGGGGGACAACAUUUGGAAACGAAUGCUAAUACCGCAUAAAAACUUUAAACACAAGUUUUAAGUUUGAAAGAUGCAAUUGCAUCACUCAAAGAUGAUCCCGCGUUGUAUUAGCUAGUUGGUGAGGUAAAGGCUCACCAAGGCGAUGAUACAUAGCCGACCUGAGAGGGUGAUCGGACACAUUGGGACUGAGACACGGCCCAAACUCCUACGGGAGGCAGCAGUAGGGAAUCUUCGGCAAUGGACGAAAGUCUGACCGAGCAACGCCGCGUGAGUGAAGAAGGGUUUCGGAUCGUAAAACUCUGUUGGUAGAGAAGAACGUUGGUGAGAGUGGAAAGCUCAUCAAGUGACGGUAACUACCCAGAAAGGGACGGCUAACUACGUG
RNAcentral lists this ribosomal RNA (497 nucleotides) under uncultured bacterium. Its description in RNAcentral is "partial 16S ribosomal RNA". It matches the Rfam family "Bacterial small subunit ribosomal RNA", at positions 28 to 507 of the family's 1533-position model. The record is from RNAcentral.